CAGAGGGUGCAAGCGUUGCUCGGAUUUACUGGGCGUAAAGCGUACGCAGACGGUGAGAAAGGUCGGAUGUGAAAGCCCCGGGCUCAACCCGGGAACUGCAUCCGAAACCAUCUCGCUCGAGUAUGGGAGAGGGAAGCGGAAUUCCUGGUGUAGAGGUGAAAUUCGUAGAUAUCAGGAGGAACAUCUGCGGCGAAGGCGGCUUCCUGGCCCAUUACUGACGUUCAGGUACGAAAGCGUGGGUAGCAAACAGGAUUAGAUACCCUGGUAGUCCACGCCGUAAACGAUGUGUGCUGGAUGUCGGGGGUAUUCACCCCCUCGGUAUCGAAGCCAACGCGAUAAGCACACCGCCUGGGGAGUACGGCCGCAAGGUUG
RNAcentral lists this ribosomal RNA (372 nucleotides) under uncultured organism. RNAcentral describes it as "bacterial SSU rRNA". It matches the Rfam family "Bacterial small subunit ribosomal RNA", at positions 526 to 896 of the family's 1533-position model. The record is from RNAcentral.